Molecule: long non-coding RNA, 1122 nt
Filed under: Apteryx haastii (Great spotted kiwi)
Lineage: Eukaryota; Metazoa; Chordata; Aves; Apterygiformes; Apterygidae
Description: lncRNA (ENSAHAG00000003954.1)
Source: RNAcentral
AUGCCGCGCAAAGCAACAUGGCCGCCCGGAAGCCCAGUGACGGACGACUACUGCUCCCGGCAUGCCGGGGUGGGGGUGCAGCGCUCCGUGAAGUUUGACCCUGUGGUGAUUCCGUUCCGUCGCGCCCCUAUUCCCCCCCCUCCCUCCGCCCGCCCUCGGGACCCGGAUACCGCCGCAAAGCCGGGAGCGCGGCCCUGCGAUCCCCCACACUGGCCCCGGACUCCCACGACACCACCGCGAGCAGCCCCGAGUCAGCUCCGACAUUGCCCCUGCCCCCCCCCGAUCCUCCACAGGGAUUCUCUUGGGACUCCCCCUCCCCGACACGCUCCCGAUUUGACCCAGGACCCCACCCCCGCGCUACUCCGACUGCGCAAUAAACCCCACCACAGCCCCGCCGCACCUCCUUCUUCCCCCACCGCACCACCACAGCCCCGGCGCUCCCCCUUCCUCUCCCCCCUGCCCCGCACCACCACAGCCCCGGCGUACACCCUCUCUCCCCACUCUCCAUGGCCCCGGUGCACCGCUCUUCCCCACCACGUCCUCGGCCGGCCCCCGGUGCACCGCCAUCCCUGGCCCCAGUGCAGUUUCUCCCGGUCCGGUGCGCCCUGGUUGUGCCGCGUUGCCCGGGACGCACCCGUCCGCCGGGACCCCUGGCACGUGGGGGAACCACAGCCCCGAGCGUGGACACCCUCGCCCUGCUCACCUCCUCCACAGUGCAGCCACUGUGCCCGUCCCAGCGGGUGGUGCUCAGCAGCAGCUCUAUUGUCCCAGACCUGCCCCAGCGCAGGCUUUCCCCAACUGCAGCUCCAACCCCAGUGCAUGCCCACUGUUGCCGUCAGCCCCACCUGGGGCUCAUCCCAGCCCCACAGCCAACAGCUGCAGCCCAUCAGGAACCAGGGAGGGGGAAUGGCCAUCAGCCCCAUCACAGACAGCUGGRGCUCCCAGGGUAGCAGAGGCACCCCCACUCCUGAGAGCAGCUUGCUGAAAGCUGAAGGGAGACCCCACUUAAUUUGCUCGUCGCUGCUUCAAACCUAUUACCUUAUUGAUACAGCUCCUAGAUUCCUCUUAUGCUCGGAUGCUGGCCUCACAGGUGAUGACCAAAAUCAACAACUGGAUCACUAG